This 522-nucleotide ribosomal RNA is filed under the name uncultured bacterium. RNAcentral's name for it is "bacterial SSU rRNA". It matches the Rfam family "Bacterial small subunit ribosomal RNA", at positions 9 to 526 of the family's 1533-position model. The record is from RNAcentral.
GAGUUUGAUCAUGGCUCAGAUUGAACGCUGGCGGCAGGCUUAACACAGCAAGUCGAGCGGGGAAGGGUAGCUUGCUACCUAACCUAGCGGCGGACGGGUGAGUAAUGCUUAGGAAUCUGCCUAUUAGUGGGGGACAACAUUCCGAAAGGAAUGCUAAUACCGCAUACGCCCUACGGGGGAAAGCAGGGGAUCUUCGGACCUUGCGCUAAUAGAUGAGCCUAAGUCAGAUUAGCUAGUUGGUGGGGUAAAGGCCUACCAAGGCGACGAUCUGUAGCGGGUCUGAGAGGAUGAUCCGCCACACUGGGACUGAGACACGGCCCAGACUCCUACGGGAGGCAGCAGUGGGGAAUAUUGGACAAUGGGCGCAAGCCUGAUCCAGCCAUGCCGCGUGUGUGAAGAAGGCCUUUUGGUUGUAAAGCACUUUAAGCGAGGAGGAGGCUACUUGGAUUAAUACUCUAGGAUAGUGGACGUUACUCGCAGAAUAAGCACCGGCUAACUCUGUGCCAGCAGCCGCGGUAAUAC